This is a long non-coding RNA of Cervus elaphus (red deer), 904 nucleotides long. RefSeq lists it as uncharacterized. The record is from RefSeq and is a predicted model, not a curated record. Lineage: Eukaryota; Metazoa; Chordata; Mammalia; Artiodactyla; Cervidae. The transcript has 3 exons.
GGGCGAGCAGGUUUGAUCCCUGGUUGGGGAACUAAGAUCCAGCAUGCUCCAGGAUGUGGCCAAAAAAGAAGAAGAAGAAGAAAGGGGAAAAAAUGUCAUUUUAAAAAAAGUGAAGGAAUGUCAUCACAAUUCACAGGUUGCUCAUGCUGGUGACCCUAACUGUCUGUGAAAGGUAAGAAGUACUUCUGUGAAUGCCUGAUAUCAUUCGUUUAAUCGAAAAUGGAAGGCAAGGAAAGAGUCAUUUCUGUAGGAGGACAGUGUUUGAGGAUGCUUCCACCGGCCUGCUUACAAAAGGCACAUGUAACGUCUCUCUGACAGGUCUAGUCAUAACAGCUAAAGACAAUAUUUUGCAACUGCACUACCGGAAAACUGGAAAUUUGCCACGGAGGUGGGCAGACAUUUCCACAAGGUUAUUUUUCUUUCUCAACGUACAGAAAGCAUUUCCUGACAAAUACUAUUCUCCUACGUGAUGAAAGAAUCAGAGACGUGGAGCAGGACUGUGUGGGGGACACACACUUGUUAUCGUGACUUUACACAAAUCAAAAAACUUUUUCAGCCUCUCUAAGCCAAGCAGCUUUCAACUGCUCAUGUAUUAAACGCUUGUACAACCAGAAAUGCUGUCAUUGGGUUGUUGAGCUUUUCCACAUUCAUUCAAGAGUUAUGUAAUGUCCAAAACCCUCAUUGACUUCAGAGUAAAAAAAAAAAAAAAUGGUUGAUGAAAAUCUUAGGUAAAAAUGAAAUUGUAGACUACACGUAGUAUAAUUUGUUUAUUGUUGUUUAGGAGUAGCAAAGGUUUGGAAAUACAGAUUCUCAGACAGAUAGGUGUCAAUCAGGUGGAAAGACAAUAAGAUCAUGUGUACAUUUUACUUUCUGAUUAUUUGCAUGUUUUUGCUGCUUAAUAAUA